GAUGAAGAACGUAGCGAAAUGCGAUAAGUAAUGUGAAUUGCAGAAUCCAGUGAAUCAUCGAAUCUUUGAACGCACAUUGCGCCCGCCAGCAUUCUGGCGGGCAUGCCUGUCCGAGCGUCAUUUCAACCCUCAAGCACUGCUUGGUGUUGGGGCGCUACGCGCUGAGCGUAGGCCCCUAAAAUCAGUGGCGGGCCUGCCGUGGCUCCGGGCGUAGUAGCAACACCUCGCCCUGGACCGCGGCGCGCUCCGGCCGUUAAAACCCCCACUAUACUGAAGGUUGACCUCGGAUCAGGUAGGAAUACCCGCUGAACUUAAGCAUAUCAAUAAGCGGAGGA
RNAcentral lists this unclassified non-coding RNA (335 nucleotides) under soil metagenome. RNAcentral describes it as "partial contains 5.8S ribosomal RNA, internal transcribed spacer 2, and large subunit ribosomal RNA". The stretch from base 1 to 120 matches the Rfam family "5.8S ribosomal RNA", at positions 35 to 154 of the family's 154-position model. The record is from RNAcentral.